GGGUUGCAGAGGCCACGCAAACGCUACUCUGGGUUAUUUCGGGACCAGCAAUGAAACAUUGAGCCAGCCUUUUCUCUCCGAGCCAGCCACACCAGCACGAUUUGACUUUUGACAUCUUUCCUUGUGAUGAGAAACGGCUGACUCUUUCAGCAGUUGUAGGCAAAAGGGCCUGCUAACCGGAGGGAAGGAAACCCGUACCACAGACCCUACAGGAAGGAAGGCCUGUGCCUGGGAAACUCACAGGCAGAAGCCGUUAGAGGGCAGCAAGUGUCUGUCUGGGAGCCCAGGCAGCAAGAGGACAAAGGAGCGCCUGGGAGCUGCCAGCAGCCUGGGGGCACCACUGGGUUUGACAAGGAAGGACGAAA
This 365-nucleotide long non-coding RNA is filed under the name Rattus norvegicus (Norway rat). RNAcentral's name for it is "long non-coding RNA NONRATT012907". The record is from RNAcentral. Lineage: Eukaryota; Metazoa; Chordata; Mammalia; Rodentia; Muridae.